RNAcentral lists this ribosomal RNA (120 nucleotides) under Pinus luchuensis. Lineage: Eukaryota; Viridiplantae; Streptophyta; Pinopsida; Pinales; Pinaceae. The record is from RNAcentral.
GGGUGCGAUCAUACCAGCGUUAACGUACCGGAUCCCAUCAGAACUCCGCAGUUACGCCCGCUUGGGCUGGAGUAGUACUGGGAUGGGUGACCUCCCGGGAAGUCCUAGUGUUGCACCCUC